This is a non-coding RNA of Pelobates cultripes (western spadefoot toad), 323 nucleotides long. The record is from the annotation of a GenBank genome assembly. NCBI's taxonomy places the organism in Eukaryota, Metazoa, Chordata, Amphibia, Anura, Pelobatidae.
GUUCCAGAUAUGCUGAUGAGAAUGGUAAUUUCCACACUGGAUAUGCUGUAGUCUCUGCACAUGAGGUAAUAAAAGCUGAACCACUCGCUCCUCACUGCUCUGCACAGGAGGCAGAGCUGAAGGCACUCGCUGAAGCGUGUAAAAUAGCUUCUGGUAAGACUGCUAAUAUUUAUACAGACUCUCGCUAUGCUUUCGGUAUAGCCCAUGAUUUUGGCCCUAUAUGACAGGCCUGUGAUUUUCUCACCUCAGCAGGAUCUCCAAUCAAGAACUCUGAAGUCGUGAGUGCACUUAUGGACGCUAUCCUGCUACCCACUCAAGUAGGC